This is an RNA transcript of Brassica napus (rape), 576 nucleotides long. It is a transcript of the gene named putative defensin-like protein 271, with no coding region annotated. The transcript is spliced from 2 exons. The record is from RefSeq and is a predicted model, not a curated record. NCBI's taxonomy places the organism in Eukaryota, Viridiplantae, Streptophyta, Magnoliopsida, Brassicales, Brassicaceae.
ACGUUUUUACUAAUUUGACAAUGAAUGUAAUUAAUUGGUAUUAACUUCUAAUGGUAUGUUACUAUACAUAGGUGUAGUACAAUCCAAAAACGCACCAAAACUUUAAUUAAAGAUACUUCUUUUAUAACGUCUUACAGUUACUUUAUAUUAUUUAAAAUUUUGGCUAUAUAUAACCACAGAGAUAGAUAAUUCAUGUUGUGAGUAGUAAAAUAAUCAUUAUCAAUUUUAUAUUUCUUAAAUUUUAACUUUAGGAUGGCAUCAUCGAAACUUUACUUUGUUGCUCUUUUAAUCAUUGCUUCAGUUUUCAUUGAUGUUCAAUCCACUCUGGUGGCUAAUUCAGGAAUUAUGGAUGCUUGGUCGGAUUGUGAUUUCAGAGGACCUUGUAAGAAGAAAGAAGAUUGUUAUGAUAGAUGUGAAGUGGACAGACCACCUUUUAAUAAUGCUAUAUGUGUACCUUUCGGACGCAGUCGUCAAUGUUGUUGUAUUUUAUCGUGAGAUUUUGAGAAUUUUCUUCAAGUUAAUUCAUGUCAAAAAACUUCAAAUAAAAUAAUAUAUGUCAAGUUAUUCACUAUAAAA